AUUGAACGCUGGCGGCAGGCCUAACACAUGCAAGUCGAGCGGAUGAAGGGAGCUUGCUCCUGGAUUCAGCGGCGGACGGGUGAGUAAUGCCUAGGAAUCUGCCUGGUAGUGGGGGAUAACGUCCGGAAGCGGGCGCUAAUACCGCAUACGUCCUGAGGGAGAAAGUGGGGGAUCUUCGGACCUCACGCUAUCAGAUGAGCCUAGGUCGGAUUAGCUAGUUGGUGGGGUAAAGGCCUACCAAGGCGACGAUCCGUAACUGGUCUGAGAGGAUGAUCAGUCACACUGGAACUGAGACACGGUCCAGACUCCUACGGGAGGCAGCAGUGGGGAAUAUUGGACAAUGGGCGAAAGCCUGAUCCAGCCAUGCCGCGUGUGUGAAGAAGGUCUUCGGAUUGUAAAGCACUUUAAGUUGGGAGGAAGGGCAGUAAGUUAAUACCUUGCUGUUUUGACGUUACCAACAGAAUAAGCACCGGCUAACUUCGUG
Molecule: ribosomal RNA, 484 nt
Filed under: uncultured bacterium
Lineage: Bacteria
Description: partial 16S ribosomal RNA
Rfam family: Bacterial small subunit ribosomal RNA
Source: RNAcentral